CGCGGCCUAUCAGCUUGUUGGUGGGGUAACGGCCUACCAAGGCUAUGACGGGUAGCUGACGUGAGAGCGUGAGCAGCCACACUGGGACUGAGACACGGCCCAGACUCCUACGGGAGGCAGCAGUGGGGAAUAUUGCGCAAUGGGCGGAAGCCUGACGCAGCGACGCCGCGUGGGGGAGGAGGGCCUUAGGGUUGUAAACCCCUGUCAGGUGGGACGAACCCCGGGUCGGUUAAUAAUCGGCUCGACUGACGGUACCACCAGAGGAAGCUCCGGCUAACUCCGUGCCAGCAGCCGCGGUAAUACGGAGGGAGCGAGCGUUGUUCGGAAUCACUGGGCGUAAAGAGCUCGUAGGCGGUUGCGUAAGUCGGAUGUGAAAACUCGGGGCUCAACCCCGAGACGCCAUCCGAUACUGCGCUGACUUGAAUCCAGUAGGGGAGUGUGGAAUUUGUUGUGUAGCGGUGAAAUGCGCAGAUAUAACAAGGAACACCUAUGGCGAAGGCAGCACUCUGGGCUGGUAUUGACGCUGAGGAGCGAAAGCAUGGGUAGCAAACAGGAUUAGAUACCCUGGUAGUCCAUGCCGUAAACGUUGGGCACUAGGUGUGGGGGACAUUCCACGUUUUCCGCGCCGUAGCUAACGCAUUAAGUGCCCCGCCUGGGGAGUACGG
Molecule: ribosomal RNA, 665 nt
Filed under: uncultured bacterium
Lineage: Bacteria
Description: bacterial SSU rRNA
Rfam family: Bacterial small subunit ribosomal RNA
Source: RNAcentral